This 5897-nucleotide long non-coding RNA is filed under the name Sus scrofa (pig). RNAcentral's name for it is "lncRNA (ENSSSCG00065019069.1)". The record is from RNAcentral. Lineage: Eukaryota; Metazoa; Chordata; Mammalia; Artiodactyla; Suidae.
GCAGUGUUGGGGACGUGCCCCUGCCCCGCUGGAGCUCACAUUCUACCGGGGAGACAGAUGACACAGAAGUAAAACCACUAUGCGAUGAUGUUGGAGGGAAGAGGUGAUCUGGGUGGGGGCUAGAGAGGGGGGAGCAGAGGGACCCCAUUACUGAGAGCAAUGGAGGAAGAUCUCUGGACAGAUGACGGGUUCUGAGAAAACAAGAGGGAGCCAAACAAGGGAAGUGAAAGGGGAGUGGGUGAUGGGGCCUCAGUGGCAGGGUGGCCCUGUGGCAGACCCAUGAUGCCCAAAGUGUCUUGUGAUCUGAGCUGAGGUCACCAGCCCCUGCACUGCAGUCUGCCCUGGACUCUCACUCUCACUUUGUCUGUUUGUGUGUAUUUGACAUGCAUCUGGGGUUCACACACACACACACACACACACACACACACACACACACGAUUCCUGGGCACCUCUUAACCGUCAUAACCCAGCCCCAGGUCAUAACCCAGCCCCAGGCCCUCCCAGCCCAGCGUGUUUUCUGAGGUUCCCGACAGAGGCACCUGAAGAAACAGUCCUGCUAAUUGCUUUUUAAUUGUCUGCAAAAAGAGCAUGUGACGGGCCCAGUUCCCUGCAGAUCUAAGUCCCCAUGCUUUACCCCAUCUCACAUUCUCACUUUGUCUUGCCCUUUCUUUCUCCCCAUCACUCAGGCCAGGAGCCGGCUACUUUCGGGGGCUGUCUUUCACCAAAAAACAAAGAUUUCCUCACUGCAUGAUAGUAUAGCCAAAGUGGCGUCAAGUAGCAAGUAGCACAGUUACAUGGCGGUUGAUUUGUGCCAGGACAAUUCCCAGGACCUAGCUCCCAGCUGCAGCCUCUGCACUGGAGACAUGUCUGUGCCUCAGCAACCAGGAGACCCUGUGACUUUACUGCCCCCCGUCCCUGGCAAGGAGUAGAAAUCUCCACUUGUAAUCCAAAAUACCAGCAGUUGCGUUGCCGUUCCUUCCAGUUCUGGGAGCCUGGGUCCCAUCCCUGUCUGCAGAUGUGUUUUAUCGACCUACUUAGAGUGUGUGUGUAUGUGUGUGUGUUUUAAUAAAAUUGAGCCCAACUCAGAAAAAUCAAGUAAUUGAACAAAAAAAAUCCAGAUUUCUGACUUCUCUUGGAAAUGAGGGAGAUGUGGUAAGACCAGGCCCGCAUUCCUUGAUGGUGGUGAUAGCCAAGAUUGAGUAGGGACCUCCUCUUGAGAAGAGGCCUCUGUUCUGUGUCCACCCCUCCCAGGGCACCUCCAGGCCUCUCACUGCCAGCCUCCCUCCUGACUUUGGAAUAUCACAUGUGCCCAGCAACUGACAUCCAAGGAGCUCGCAGACCCCAGAGGUGACCUGUGUGUCCCUGUUAGACGUGAUUCUUGAGGAUGAGGACAACAAUUCUUGGGUCCUCCUUUUAAUGAGCUGAGUGAUAUAUGAUUGGACAAGCCUGGCUGCACCUUAGAAUCCCUUGAGGAACUUUGUAAAAAAAAUUCCAGGGCCCAGGUCAUCCCACAAACCAAUUAACUCAGGAGCUCUGGGGGUGGGGCCCCAGCCUUGGUAGUUUUUAAAGCUCUCUAGUGAUUCCAAUGUGCAGCCAGGUUGGAGCCCUCCCCUGCCCAUGAAGUGCUUCAUUACAUCAUCUCAGUGAGGACACGGUUGAUGUUAGUGAGAAUGCACAGUCGUCCCUCAGUAUCCACACGAACUGGCUCCAGGUUGCCCUGGGGGUACCAAACUCCUUGGAUGCUCAAGUUCCUUAUGGUACAAAAUGGCUUGGUGCCCUGAGCCCUCUUUAUCCAUGGGUUCCACAUGUGUGAUUUAACCAAUGGCGGAUCCACCUGAUUGGUUGAAUCUGAGAAUUCUUAACUUAUGAAUACGAAGGACCAACUUAUACCAUAGGCUAGAGGAAGCUGCCUCAGCCCACCCAGAACUCUCAGAGAAGGGAAGUUUUCAAUAGCACUUGUUACCAACAUGAUUAAGUGCAAAGCCGCCCGGCGUCCCUCCCAUCCCUCUUCUUUUACUGAUGCUGACCUGGUUGCUCUCCAAAACCAAGAGGAAGGACCAGGGACCUCUGCUCUGAUGCUGCAUGAUUCAUGAGGAAUUGAUUCCAGCCCCACCCACCCUCUGUCCUGUGAAGCCCCAAGUGUGUAAAGAAUUUCCCAGAGAGCAUUGUCAUGAUCCAUCAGAAUAACUGUAGACUAAGUAUGGAACAGACUGAAGAUGGUUUGGUUUUGGAUAGAAGAAUUUGAGAUAUUGAGAUAGGCUUUGAGAAUGGUUUGGUUCUGAAUAUUUCCCAACUUCGCUUCCUUAAGCAAGAUGACACAUUUGGUGAAUUAAUAAUGAUGACCCUUCAUGGGUUUGGGGAGUAAGUAAGCCCAUGACAAGCCAGCUCUGGCUCGGUGACAGUGUCCUCAUCUGCUUUGUCUACCCAACAAAUCAGGCUCUUUUCCUAUGCGGAGCCCUGGUAUUGGUUGAGUGCUCAGCCCUUCAGCCAGUAAGGGCGGAUCAGGGUAAAUAAUUUCCUUUCCUCCAACCAGCACAGAGACCUCAGUUACACUGUCCCUGUGCUUGAGGGUUUUUUCAUCCAGGGGAUUUAAUAUGCUAAUGAGUUGCUGCACAGGGAUGGCACUUGAAGGAAAGAGUUGCCUUUCAGUCAUCACUUUGUGUCAACAAGUGGCGCUGUGCCAGGCCCAAGGGCUCUGUCAUUCCUGCAGCCCAGCAGGGGGACUGACAGACAAACUGGUGGAUGCAAAGCCUAGUGUGAGCAACGGGCCCAGAGGAGAGAAGGCCCAGCAGAGGCAAUGUGUGGAGUCAGGAAAAGGCCCAGAGGUGAUAGGAAAGGCCCAGGGGAGGCAGGACGAGUCACGUUGGGGCAGGACGCAGAGCUUCAGGAUAAGGACAUGAAGCCGCAUUCGGGAAUAAGGGCUCGAAGUGAGUCAGAGUUCCAGGACACAGUCACACACUCAAAAGGAAGGCAGAGGAGAGCUACAAAGGGGCUACACUCAGAGGUGUGGGCAGGGCUCAGGAAACCAACCACAGAGAGUGAAGCCCGGGGUUCACAUCAGUGGGAAGGGACGUUUGUUACAUCCCUAGGUCUGAAGCACUAAGAGAAGGGAGCUGUAAUUGGAAUUGUGUAAGAGAGUCACCGAAAAGGAGCUACCUAUGGCCUUAGAUGGAGGGACACAGCCUGUGCCAACCACAGUCUGACAAGGAGCAAGCCAGGGCUUCAAUACCCUGCCCAUCUCUGGUCCCGCCUCCCAUCUCCAUCAGUGCCUCCCAUUGGUUAAAAUCCCAGGGAGCAUAGCAGGCAAGGGGGAACCAGGUUGGUGAUGUCCACAGAGGCCCUACAGAGCAGGACAGAGAAGGAAGGAUGUGGAUCGUGGGUAUCAAGAGGACAUUCCUUAGACUUUAUCUGAUAGAUCUGCGAAGUUCUUUUUUCAAACAAAAUCACAGAGAUUUAAAACUUCAGUGAAAUAGAUAAAAGAUUAUUUAUUCCAAAUAUGUAUCUUGGGGUGCUUUUGAAGCCCACCCCAACAGAAGUAGUGGUGGAGAAAUCAAGGGAAGGGCUCUUGGUCCCAAAGACAGAAGGAAGGCCUGGAUGAAGUCUGUCACCUUUGGAGUUCCCGUCAUGGCUCAGUGGUUAACGAAUCCGACUAGGGACCAUGAGGUUGCGGGUUCAAUCCCUGGCCUUGCUCAGUGGAUUAAGGAUCCGGCGUUGUUGUGAGCUGUGGUGUAGGUCACAGACAUGGCUUGGAUCCUGUGUUGCUGUGACUCCGGCGUAGGCCAGCAACUACAGCUCCAAUUAGAUCCCUAGCCUGGGAACCUCCAUAUGCAGCGGGAGCGGCCCAAGAAAUGGCAAAAAAGACAAAAAAAAAAAAAAAAGGUGAGAGUUAAGUUUUACUUGGGGCAAAAUGAGGACUACAGCCCAGGAGGCAGCAUUUCAGAUAGCUCUGAAAUACUGUGCAAAGAGGCAGGGGGAAGAUCAGUACCUAUGUGAUUUUGGUGAAGAGAGAGGUACAUGCAACUAGGCACACAUUUUACAGAAGGUUGCUGUUAGUCCCCUGAAGUUUACUCCUUGUCACAAGGAGCAGAUGUCACCAUGAAGGAUUUUAGUGCUUUUCCAGGUACUAGGAGAUGCAAGAAUUGGGCUUGUAUAAAAUCUUCUCCUGAAAAUAUCUAACUAUCUAAAGACCCGUUCUGCCAGUUUUCCCAGAGCACAGAGCCCCUCACUCCUGAUCCCCACCCUGAGCUCCUUUCAAGGGCUAUUGAGGGUCCACAGCUGCAGUGGCUCGUGAUUCAGUAUGUGUAGAGGCAGAUGGCAUGUGUCAAUCUCCAGUUCACAGGACCUUAGGAGUAGGGUUGGGGAGGAGCAAGCUGAUGUAGAAGGGCCCUAUCCGUGGAACUUGAUGACUGGGUGCACGCGGGAGUUAGGCAGGGGAAGAUGUGAGGACACCAAUGUCCAUUCAUUCACUCAUUCAUUCAGCCAAUAUUUAUCGAGGACCUGCCAUGUGCCAGGUAUGGCUGGUGGUGCUAAGGACACUACAGCAAUGAAAACAAAAAAUCUCCAACCUCGUGGAAUUUAUCUUCCAGUAGGAAAGGUACACAAACAAAUAAGCUGGUGAAUAUAGAGUAUGUCGGAUGGUACCAAAAAAGGAAGAGAUGCAGGAAGCAGAUGGCAGAGUUGCUACAGUGAUGUGCUUGUAAAUGUUUAACUACCAGCUCUCUGGGGAAAAUUUAAAAACCCUGAUUUGUAGUGUUUUCUGUUUUCCAUUGUGCAAAUACUCCCCCCACAGCCAAUUGCAAGCUCCAGUGUGAUGCCACUAAAUACAGAGUUGGAAAAAGAUGAUUGGUGGCCUGCCAUUACAUAGUAUUUCCAUGAUAUAGAGACAAUAAAUGUAAAUUACCCAUAGGGCAAAGAUAAUAGUAAUAGAAUUUAAAAGUGAUGAGUUUAGGUAUUCAUUACCUUUAUUCUUAACAUAAGUUAUUUCAUUACAAGUUGAUAUGAUUCAAUUUUUUUUUAAAUGUUCCCCCUCCCUUUUGUUUGGUCGCCCUGCAGCAUAUGGGGUUCCCAGGCCAGGGCCAGGGAUCAGAUAUGAGCUGCAGUUCUGACCUAUGCCGAAGCUGCAGCCAGAGCCUUAACCUACUGUGCUGGGCUGGGGAUGGAACCUGCGUCCCAGGGUUCCAGAGAUGCUGCUAAUCCCAUUGUGCUCCAGUAGGAACUCCUAUGAUUUAAUUUUUAAUAAUGAUUAUAAUCAAUAACCAGCUUUCACAGUUCCUAAAAUCUUAACCAUCUGUUGUAACAAGCCAAUAUAAGCCAGUUCUAGAAUGCCACCAAGUUGCUGGGACUGUAAUUAUCCCAGUAUCAUCCUGAUCAGAUUUGGGCACUCCACCAGGCGUGAGCACAUUUGAUUGAUGAAUAAAGUGGUCUCUUUUCUGAAGUGCCCCUUGCAGAGUGAUGAGAAGCUAGUUUGGAAUAGACAAGGAUGAGGAAACCAUGCCUUGGAUGAAGCCCUCCAACAAUGACCCAGAGUCUGACCCAGGCACAAUUGGGAGUUUAUGCAUCUGAGCACCUGCCAUGCACAUAACAUUUUCAGACACUACCCAAAGUAGAAAUGCAAGGUCCUAAAGAAAAUGCAAAAAAAUCCAAGGAUAUGUAAAAAGGUUUAUCAUGAUCUAAGUUGGUUCAUUUCAUGAAUACAAAGUUGAUUUAAAAAUCAAAAAGUGAAGGAAUUACUUCCCAUCAUGGCACAGUGGAAAUGACUAGUAUCUAUGAGGAUGCAUGUUCGAUCCCUAGCCUCGCUCAGUGAGUUAAGUAUCUGGUGUUGCUGUGGCUGUAGUAUAGGCCAGCAGCUACAGCUCCAAUUCUACCCCUAGCCUGGGAGCCUCCAUAUGCUGUGGGUG